UUGAUCCUGGCUCAGAGCGAACGCUGGCGGCAGGCUUAACACAUGCAAGUCGAGCGGGCCCUUCGGGGUCAGCGGCAGACGGGUGAGUAACGCGUGGGAACGUGCCCUUCGGUUCGGAAUAACUCAGGGAAACUUGAGCUAAUACCGGAUACGCCCUUAUGGGGAAAGGCUUGACUGCCGAAGGAUCGGCCCGCGUCUGAUUAGCUAGUUGGUGAGGUUAUGGCUCACCAAGGCGACGAUCAGUAGCUGGUCUGAGAGGAUGAUCAGCCACACUGGGACUGAGACACGGCCCAGACUCCUACGGGAGGCAGCAGAAGGG
This 319-nucleotide ribosomal RNA is filed under the name uncultured Methylobacterium sp. Its description in RNAcentral is "bacterial SSU rRNA". It matches the Rfam family "Bacterial small subunit ribosomal RNA", at positions 13 to 359 of the family's 1533-position model. The record is from RNAcentral. Lineage: Bacteria; Pseudomonadati; Pseudomonadota; Alphaproteobacteria; Hyphomicrobiales; Methylobacteriaceae.